CCCCUAGAUGUUCUGGGCCGCACGCGCGCUACACUGAACAGUUCAACAAGUCUUAACCUUGGCCGAUAGGUCUGGGUAAUCUUUGAACGCUGUUCGUGAUUGGGAUAGACCUUUGCAAUUAUGGGUCUUCAACGAGGAAUUCCUAGGAAACGCAAGUCAUCAGCUUGCAUUGAUUACGUCCCUGCCCUUUGUACACACCGCCCGUCGCACCUACCGAUUGAAUGGUCCGGUGAAAUCUCGGGACGGCGGCUUGGUCGCUUGCGUCCGACUGCUGAAACUUGAUUAAACCAUAUCAUUUAGAGGAAGGUGAAGUCGUAACA
This 320-nucleotide ribosomal RNA is filed under the name uncultured eukaryote. Its description in RNAcentral is "partial 18S ribosomal RNA". It matches the Rfam family "Eukaryotic small subunit ribosomal RNA", at positions 1470 to 1796 of the family's 1831-position model. The record is from RNAcentral.